This 114-nucleotide ribosomal RNA is filed under the name Zingiber officinale. The record is from RNAcentral. Lineage: Eukaryota; Viridiplantae; Streptophyta; Magnoliopsida; Zingiberales; Zingiberaceae.
UAGAUCAUACCUGCACUAAUGCACCGGAUACCAUCAGAACUCCGAAGUUAAGCGUUCUUGGGCGAGAGCAGUACUAGGAUGGGUUACCCCCUGGGAAGUUCUCGUGUUGCACCU